GGCGGCUAGGGCGCGCGGCCAGGCGAGCGGCGGAGCAGCGGCCAUGUGCUCAGCAUUCACCAGCUACAGCUUCCACGUGCUUGUUUCCAUGCUUAAUUGUGUGCUGCGUUCUCCAAGAAAUUAGGUGUGCUUGUAAUUAGGGAUGCGAUUAACAAGCAGUUAGCUCUAGAAACUGGUGUGGUACUGGCUCCAUCAAUUGUUUCAGGAGGCAUCUAGUGAACUAGCUUGUGUGUUCUUCCUUUUAGAAAACUUUGCAGAUGGUUUGAGUGGCGCCAGGUGCGCGGCGGCGUGGUGGCCAGCAGGUAGCGGUAACCAGCAGACCGCGAUUUGCUACGUGGGACUCUCUGUGUGCUGAUUUGGGACUCUAUGUAGGCUGUUGGACAUGAUUAGUGCUAUUUUUACAUGAAC
This 408-nucleotide long non-coding RNA is filed under the name Oryza brachyantha (malo sina). RNAcentral describes it as "long non-coding RNA (OBRA_LNC001435)". The record is from RNAcentral. Lineage: Eukaryota; Viridiplantae; Streptophyta; Magnoliopsida; Poales; Poaceae.